This 652-nucleotide ribosomal RNA is filed under the name Hepatozoon canis. RNAcentral's name for it is "bacterial SSU rRNA". It matches the Rfam family "Eukaryotic small subunit ribosomal RNA", at positions 171 to 811 of the family's 1831-position model. Lineage: Eukaryota; Apicomplexa; Hepatozoidae. The record is from RNAcentral.
UGGAGCAAAAUCUCAACUUUAUUAGAAGAGACGCAUUUAUUAGAUAAAAAGCCAAUGCAUGCUUUUACAGUAUGAAAAUUGGUGAUUUAUAAUAACUUAGCAAAUCGCAAAGUGAAAACAGGCGAUAAAUCAUUCAAGUUUCUGACCUAUCAGCUUUCGACGGUAUGGUAUUGGCUUACCGUGGCAGUGACGGUUAACGGGGGAUUAGGGUUCGAUUCCGGAGAGGGAGCCUGAGAAACGGCUACCACAUCUAAGGAAGGCAGCAGGCGCGCAAAUUACCCAAUUCUAACAGUUUGAGAGAGGUAGUAACAAGAAAUAACAAUACAAGGCAGUUAAAAUGCUUUGUAAUUGGAAUGAUAGAAAUUUAAACCCUUUUUAAAGUAUCAAUUGGAGGGCAAGUCUGGUGCCAGCAGCCGCGGUAAUUCCAGCUCCAAUAGCGUAUAUUAAAAUUGUUGCAGUUAAAAAGCUCGUAGUUGAAGUUCUGCUAAAAGUAACCGGUCUGCUUUUAAUAAAGGUGGUAUCUUGGUGUGUAUUUAGCAAUGAUGUCCUUUGAAGUGUUUUUUACUUUAUUGUAAUAAAGCAUAUUCAGGACUUUUACUUUGAGAAAAUUAGAGUGUUUCUAGCAGGCUAACGCUUUGAAUACUGCAGCAUG